RNAcentral lists this long non-coding RNA (533 nucleotides) under Mus spretus (western wild mouse). RNAcentral describes it as "brown adipose tissue enriched long noncoding RNA 3 (ENSMSPG00010011501.1)". Lineage: Eukaryota; Metazoa; Chordata; Mammalia; Rodentia; Muridae. The record is from RNAcentral.
AAGUCACAGGGAACAAGGCAGAAUGAGGUUCAGUGGGGUGUGCCAGGUGUGUGUUGAUCAGCACCAAUGACAGCAUGAAACUGAUGUUCCAGGGACUAAGAUGAAGCAGUUGAAAUCACUGGAUCCCAGGCAGCUUCCAGCCAGCAGAGACAUUCUGUCUUCCCUACACUCGGGGCAGGUCUUGGCAGCGCCCUGCCUGACUCCAGCCUGUCCCUUCUCAUGCCUGGGAAAGCCCAGGAGACCGCGGCGCACUCACCCGGUGGCUGCCUCUGUCCAUGGUGUAAGAGAAUGCUUCUUCCAGGCUCAGCUGAUGUCGAGGAGGCAAAAGAAACAGAGGAAGAGACACAUGUCCUAAAGCAAAGUCGCCGUGCUCAGAAGUGUGGAAGCAGAAGAGUUCGGUGGACUUGGGAAUGCUCCCUUUGUGAUAAAGCCCCAGGGUGGCUGCAACUUCGCUGAGAUCCGUGGAUUCUGCGAUUGGGUCUGUGUUCCCCCAUGCAUGAAUCUGUACCCAGAUAAAAUUCUCUUUGCUUUUA